This 229-nucleotide ribosomal RNA is filed under the name uncultured bacterium. Its description in RNAcentral is "partial 16S ribosomal RNA". It matches the Rfam family "Bacterial small subunit ribosomal RNA", at positions 524 to 753 of the family's 1533-position model. The record is from RNAcentral.
UACGGAGGGUGCAAGCGUUGUCCGGAUUUAUUGGGUUUAAAGGGUGCGUAGGCGGCCAUUUAAGUCUGGGGUGAAAGCCCGUUGCUCAACAACGGAACUGCCCUGGAAACUGGAUGGCUUGAGUACAGACGAGGGUGGCGGAAUGGAUGCUGUAGCGGUGAAAUGCAUAGAUAGCAUCCAGAACCCCGAUUGCGAAGCAGCUGCCUAGACUGUAACUGACGUGGAGGCA